This 468-nucleotide ribosomal RNA is filed under the name uncultured bacterium. RNAcentral describes it as "partial 16S ribosomal RNA". It matches the Rfam family "Bacterial small subunit ribosomal RNA", at positions 28 to 507 of the family's 1533-position model. The record is from RNAcentral.
GACGAACGCUGGCGGCGUGCUUAACACAGGCAAGUCGAACGGAAAGGCCCUGCUUUUGUGGGGUGCUCGAGUGGCGAACGGGUGAGUAACACGUGAGUAACCUGCCCUUGACUUUGGGAUAACUUCAGGAAACUGGGGCUAAUACCGGAUAGGAGCUCCUGCUGCAUGGUGGGGGUCGGAAAGUUUCGGCGGUUGGGGAUGGACUCGCGGCUUAUCAGCUUGUUGGUGGGGUAGUGGCUUACCAAGGCUUUGACGGGUAGCCGGCCUGAGAGGGUGACCGGCCACAUUGGGACUGCGAUACGGCCCAGACUCCUACGGGAGGCAGCAGUGGGGAAUAUUGCACAAUGGGCGGAAGCCUGAUGCAGCAACGCCGCGUCCGGGAUGACGGCCUUCGGGUUGUAGCCCGCUUUCGCCUGUGACGAAGCGUGAGUGACGGUAAUGGGUACAGAAGCACCGGCUAACUACGUG